GAUGAACGCUGGCGGCGUGCCUAAUACAUGCAAGUCGAGCGAACAGACGAGGAGCUUGCUCCUCUGACGUUAGCGGCGGACGGGUGAGUAACACGUGGAUAACCUAACUAUACGACUGGGAUAACUUCGGGAAACCGGGGCUAAUACCGUAUAACAUGUUGAACCUCAUGGUUCAACAGUGGAAGACGGUCUUGCUGUCACUUAUAGCUUGAUCAGCGCCGCAUUAGUUAGUUGGUAAGGUAACGGCUUACCAAGGCAACGAUGCGUAACCGACCUGAGCGGGUGAACGGCCACACUGGCUCUGAGACUCGGUCCACACUCCUACGGGAGGCAGCAGCACGGAAUCUUCCGCAAUGGGCGAAUGCCUGACGGAGCACCGCCGCGUGAGUGAAGAUGCUCUUCGGAUCGUAAAACUCUGUUAUUCGGGAAGAACAAAUGUGUCAGUAACUACGCACGUCUUGACGGUACCUAAUCAGAAAGCCACGGCUAACUCCGUG
RNAcentral lists this ribosomal RNA (497 nucleotides) under uncultured bacterium. RNAcentral describes it as "partial 16S ribosomal RNA". It matches the Rfam family "Bacterial small subunit ribosomal RNA", at positions 28 to 507 of the family's 1533-position model. The record is from RNAcentral.